GGAUAAACAGGUGGUUAAAGCAGCAGCAUGACACAUCCACCAACAUGACAGAGCUUUGGGAUGUUGUUGCUCUCGUCUUCAGCACAACCCUGUGCCUGAACAGUGUCUGACGCAUAGUAGGACCUCAGCAGAUACUUGUGGACUGACUCUGUCCAGUGCCCUUUUCUGCGACUCCGGUCUGCUUUAAGAGCCCUGUGAACUCAGUGUUUAAGAAGAAACACUAAACCAGAGACUCACUCAGGUAAAUAAAAACGCUCAUCUUUCCUGGACUCUUACUUCAGUGAACCAGGCUGGUCCCAAUUGGACAAAUAAGGAGAACAGCUCUGUGAAUCACUCUCUUCGCUCCUGCCUUUGGCACCCAGAGAGGUUACCUCACUCACCUCGAGGCAGAAAGAGCUGCUGGAUUACUCACCUGCUGGAGAGCUUGUCACCAGCUGCAAGCUCUCCCUGCGUGUCCACGAGGCAGUGUCGAGAAACCAAAGGCAGUGGCAGAACAACACGUGGAGCGUGACCCCACUGCAAAAUGGCACACACGGAGAGUCCGAGCAUCGGUGCAGAGGAAAGGGCCUCAGGGAUGCACCGCUUGAGAGUGGGUGUCCUGAGGGGAGGACUUGGUUUGGGGCUGUCAUAUUCAGGGAGGGUGGCUCUUACUUUGUACACUGCACUUUUUUAUAGCAUAAAUGUUUGAAAUAAAA
RNAcentral lists this long non-coding RNA (695 nucleotides) under Homo sapiens (human). RNAcentral describes it as "HSALNT0079499". The record is from RNAcentral. Lineage: Eukaryota; Metazoa; Chordata; Mammalia; Primates; Hominidae.